GUGACAAGGACUGAGUGGAGCCACAAGAUACGAAGAUGCCAAAGAGAAAGGCUGUAAAGCAGCAACAGAGUCAAUGACCUUUAGGGUUGUUUCCAGUUUGGGGCUGUAAUGAACUAUGAAUGAUGCUGCUUUGAAUCUUCUCAGGCUGCUCUACCUGUGCAGCCAUUUCUUCAAGGAGAGAACAUUCUACAGACAAAACUAUACUGAAAGGAUUUCAAGUGAUGUUGGAAAAUGUUGAAGAAAAGUAUCAAAUGGUAAUGGCAGAAUAUA
Long non-coding RNA from Hipposideros armiger (great roundleaf bat), 270 nucleotides. RefSeq lists it as uncharacterized. NCBI's taxonomy places the organism in Eukaryota, Metazoa, Chordata, Mammalia, Chiroptera, Hipposideridae. The record is from RefSeq and is a predicted model, not a curated record. The transcript has 3 exons.